This 496-nucleotide ribosomal RNA is filed under the name uncultured bacterium. RNAcentral describes it as "partial 16S ribosomal RNA". It matches the Rfam family "Bacterial small subunit ribosomal RNA", at positions 29 to 507 of the family's 1533-position model. The record is from RNAcentral.
AUGAACGCUGGCGGCGUGCCUAAUACCUGCAAGUCGAGCGAACAGACGAGGAGCUUGCUCCUCUGACGUUAGCGGCGGACGGGUGAGUAACACGUGGAUAACCUACCUAUAAGACUGGGAUAACUUCGGGAAACCGGAGCUAAUACCGGAUAAUAUAUUGAACCGCAUGGUUCAAUAGUGAAAGACGGUUUUGCUGUCACUUAUAGAUGGAUCCGCGCCGCAUUAGCUAGUUGGUAAGGUAACGGCUUACCAAGGCAACGAUGCGUAGCCGACCUGAGAGGGUGAUCGGCCACACUGGAACUGAGACACGGUCCAGACUCCUACGGGAGGCAGCAGUAGGGAAUCUUCCGCAAUGGGCGAAAGCCUGACGGAGCAACGCCGCGUGAGUGAUGAAGGUCUUUGGAUCGUAAAACUCUGUUAUUAGGGAAGAACAAAUGUGUAAGUAACUAUGCACGUCUUGACGGUACCUAAUCAGAAAGCCACGGCUAACUACGUG